GCCGGCCCUGUAGUACGAUAUUUUUUAAAGCUAUUUCAAGGAACAUACAGAAGGGGUGUGAAUGAGACCGCCAUAGUGUGGCUUAACGCUGCUCCUG
Long non-coding RNA from Hipposideros armiger (great roundleaf bat), 97 nucleotides. RefSeq lists it as uncharacterized. The transcript has 2 exons. NCBI's taxonomy places the organism in Eukaryota, Metazoa, Chordata, Mammalia, Chiroptera, Hipposideridae. The record is from RefSeq and is a predicted model, not a curated record.